GAUUUCUGGCUUGAAACAUUUUGCCGGCCACGGUUUCGUGUGUUAGUGCUUGAUGUUCUGGCCAUCCUUCCAAUCGCUAUUGGUGGCUCUUCAUUGGGUCGUCAGUAGUAUUGGAUCUUUUACUUUGAAAAAAUUAGAGUGUUUCAAGCAGGCUUUAUGCUAUGAAUACAUUAGCAUGGAAUAAUAAUUUAGGACUUCGGUUCUAUUUUGUUGGUUUCUAGGACUGAAGUAAUGAUUGAUAGGGAUAGUUGGGGGUGCUAGUAUUCAGCGGCCAGAGGUGAAAUUCUCGGAUUCGCUGAAGACUAACUUAUGCGAAAGCAUU
Molecule: ribosomal RNA, 322 nt
Filed under: uncultured Cryomonadida
Lineage: Eukaryota; Cercozoa; Thecofilosea
Description: SSU rRNA
Rfam family: Eukaryotic small subunit ribosomal RNA (bases 112-322)
Source: RNAcentral